This 433-nucleotide ribosomal RNA is filed under the name uncultured bacterium. Its description in RNAcentral is "partial 16S ribosomal RNA". It matches the Rfam family "Bacterial small subunit ribosomal RNA", at positions 29 to 507 of the family's 1533-position model. The record is from RNAcentral.
AACGAACGCUGGCGGCAUGCCUAACACAUGCAAGUCGAACGAUCCCUUCGGGGAUAGUUGCGCACCGGUGCGUAACGCGUGGUAACCUGCCCUUAGGUUCGGAAUAACUCAGAGAAAUUUGAGCUAAUACCGGAUAAUGUCUUCGGACCAAAGAUUUAUCGCCUUUGGAUGGGCCCGCGUUGGAUUAGCUAGUUGGUGGGGUACAGGCCUACCAAGGCGACGAUCCAUAGCUGGUCUGAGAGGAUGAUCAGCCACACUGGGACUGAGACACGGCCCAGACUCCUACGGGAGGCAGGAGUGGGGAAUAUUGGACAAUGGGCGAAAGCCUGAUCCAGCAAUGCCGCGUGAGUGAUGAAGGCCUUAGGGUUGUAAAGCUCUUUUACACGGGAUGAUAAUGACAGUAACGGGAGAAUAAGCCCCGGCUAACUCCGUG